Molecule: transfer RNA, 85 nt
Filed under: Crassvirales sp.
Lineage: Duplodnaviria; Heunggongvirae; Uroviricota; Caudoviricetes; Crassvirales
Description: tRNA-Leu
Rfam family: tRNA
About the family: Transfer RNA (tRNA) molecules are approximately 80 nucleotides in length. Their secondary structure includes four short double-helical elements and three loops (D, anti-codon, and T loops). Further hydrogen bonds mediate the characteristic L-shaped molecular structure. tRNAs have two regions of fundamental functional importance: the anti-codon, which is responsible for specific mRNA codon recognition, and the 3' end, to which the tRNAs corresponding amino acid is attached (by aminoacyl-tRNA synthetases). tRNAs cope with the degeneracy of the genetic code in two manners: having more than one tRNA (with a specific anti-codon) for a particular amino acid; and 'wobble' base-pairing, i.e. permitting non-standard base-pairing at the 3rd anti-codon position.
Source: RNAcentral
GCUCCUAUGAUGAAAUUGGUAAACAUAAGGGACUUAAAAUCCCUUGCUCUUUAAGAGCUUAAGGGUUCAAGUCCCUUUAGGAGUA